RNAcentral lists this ribosomal RNA (216 nucleotides) under uncultured bacterium. RNAcentral describes it as "partial 16S ribosomal RNA". It matches the Rfam family "Bacterial small subunit ribosomal RNA", at positions 524 to 737 of the family's 1533-position model. The record is from RNAcentral.
UACGUAGGUGGCAAGCGUUGUCCGGAUUUAUUGGGUUUAAAGGGUGCGUAGGCGGUUAUAUAAGUCAGUGCUGAAAAUAUCCCCAGCUUAACUGGGAGGGUGGCAUUGAUACUGUAUGACUUGAGUAGAGUUGAGGUUGGCGGAAUUGACGGUGUAGCGGUGAAAUGCUUAGAUAUCGUCAAGAACACCGAUAGUGAAGACAGCUAACUAAGCUCU